AUAACAACUCUCAACAUUCCGUUGAGAUGUGUAAUGAGGAUAAUUUACAAACCUUACCGAAAGCAAUUGGAGGGCAAGUCUGGUGCCAGCGGCCGCGGUAAUA
This 103-nucleotide ribosomal RNA is filed under the name uncultured bacterium. RNAcentral's name for it is "partial 16S ribosomal RNA". It matches the Rfam family "Eukaryotic small subunit ribosomal RNA", at positions 477 to 584 of the family's 1831-position model. The record is from RNAcentral.